AGGAAAGUAGUGUAGUGGUUAACACACGAGACUCGGGUAGGCGCGAGGCGCGGGUUUCAUUCCCGCCUGUGCCG
This 74-nucleotide transfer RNA is filed under the name Nippostrongylus brasiliensis. It matches the Rfam family "tRNA". From Rfam's summary of the family: Transfer RNA (tRNA) molecules are approximately 80 nucleotides in length. The record is from Rfam by way of RNAcentral. Lineage: Eukaryota; Metazoa; Nematoda; Chromadorea; Rhabditida; Heligmosomidae.